GGAGUUGAAAAGUAAGGGAGAAAGGGAAGGAGGCAUUUUCGAGGAGAGAAUGAUGUAAGAAAGAAGCCCAUCUCCUAUUACAUGCACCCUCUCUCCCUCUUCUUAUUUUUUGUCACACCAACUCAUCAUAUUUCAUGCACACCCACCUCUUAACACCCUAAAAGAUCAAAUCCCAUUAGAUUUAAGCCAUUCAAAACCAUAUCAA
RNAcentral lists this long non-coding RNA (205 nucleotides) under Elaeis guineensis (African oil palm). Its description in RNAcentral is "long non-coding RNA (EGUI_LNC063062)". The record is from RNAcentral. Lineage: Eukaryota; Viridiplantae; Streptophyta; Magnoliopsida; Arecales; Arecaceae.